CAGUAGCCGCGGGAAUACGUAGGUGGCAAGCGUUGUCCGGAAUUAUUGGGCGUAAAGGGCUCGCAGGCGGUUUCUUAAGUCUGAUGUGAAAGCCCCCGGCUCAACCGGGGAGGGUCAUUGGAAGCUGGGAAACUUGAGUGCAGAAGAGGAGAGUGGAAUUCCACGUGUAGCGGUGAAAUGCGUAGAGAUGUGGAGGAACACCAGUGGCGAAGGCGACUCUCUGGUCUGUAACUGACGCUGAGGAGCGAAAGCGUGGGGAGCGAACAGGAUUAGAUACCCCCGUAGUCCCUGUCUCUUAUAC
Molecule: ribosomal RNA, 301 nt
Filed under: uncultured bacterium
Lineage: Bacteria
Description: partial 16S ribosomal RNA
Rfam family: Bacterial small subunit ribosomal RNA
Source: RNAcentral